AGCAGUCGCCGCGGGAAUACGUAGGUGGCAAGCGUUGUUCGGAAUUAUUGGGCGUAAAGGGCUCGCAGGCGGUUUCUUAAGUCUGAUGUGAAAUCCCCCGGCUCAACCGGGGAGGGUCAUUGGAAACUGGGAAACUUGAGUGCAGAAGAGGAGAGUGGAAUUCCACGUGUAGCGGUGAAAUGCGUAGAGAUGUGGAGGAACACCAGUGGCGAAGGCGACUCUCUGGUCUGUAACUGACGCUGAUGCACGAAAGCUAGGGGAGCAAACAGGAUUAGAUACCCCGGUAGUCCCUGUCUCUUAUAC
This 303-nucleotide ribosomal RNA is filed under the name uncultured bacterium. RNAcentral describes it as "partial 16S ribosomal RNA". It matches the Rfam family "Bacterial small subunit ribosomal RNA", at positions 507 to 807 of the family's 1533-position model. The record is from RNAcentral.